CGAAGGGUGCAAGCGUUACUCGGAAUUACUGGGCGUAAAGCGUGCGUAGGUGGUUCGUUAAGUCUGCCGUGAAAGCCCCGGGCUCAACCUGGGAAUGGCGGUGGAUACUGGCGGACUAGAGUGCGGUAGAGGGUGGUGGAAUUCCCGGUGUAGCAGUGAAAUGCGUAGAGAUCGGGAGGAACAUCUGUGGCGAAGGCGGCCACCUGGACCAGCACUGACACUGAGGCACGAAAGCGUGGGGAGCAAACAGGAUUAGAUACCCUGGUAGUCCACGCCCUAAACGAUGCGGACUGGACGUUGGGCUCAACUAGGAGCUCAGUGUCGAAGCUAACGCGUUAAGUCCGCCGCCUGGGGAGUACGGUCGCAAGACUG
This 372-nucleotide ribosomal RNA is filed under the name uncultured organism. RNAcentral describes it as "bacterial SSU rRNA". It matches the Rfam family "Bacterial small subunit ribosomal RNA", at positions 526 to 896 of the family's 1533-position model. The record is from RNAcentral.